Molecule: ribosomal RNA, 465 nt
Filed under: Vreelandella stevensii
Lineage: Bacteria; Pseudomonadati; Pseudomonadota; Gammaproteobacteria; Oceanospirillales; Halomonadaceae
Description: partial 16S ribosomal RNA
Rfam family: Bacterial small subunit ribosomal RNA
Source: RNAcentral
CCUACGGGUGGCAGCAGUGGGGAAUAUUGGACAAUGGGCGAAAGCCUGAUCCAGCCAUGCCGCGUGUGUGAAGAAGGCCUUCAGGUUGUAAAGCACUUUCAGUGGGGAAGAAAGCCUUGGGGCUAAUACCCUCGAGGAAGGACAUCACCCACAGAAGAAGCACCGGCUAACUCCGUGCCAGCAGCCGCGGUAAUACGGAGGGUGCGAGCGUUAAUCGGAAUUACUGGGCGUAAAGCGCGCGUAGGCGGUCUGAUAAGCCGGUUGUGAAAGCCCCGGGCUCAACCUGGGAACGGCAUCCGGAACUGUCAGGCUAGAGUGCAGGAGAGGAAGGUAGAAUUCCCGGUGUAGCGGUGAAAUGCGUAGAGAUCGGGAGGAAUACCAGUGGCGAAGGCGGCCUUCUGGACUGACACUGACGCUGAGGUGCGAAAGCGUGGGUAGCAAACAGGAUUAGAUACCCUUGUAGUC